This 2335-nucleotide long non-coding RNA is filed under the name Sorghum bicolor (sorghum). Its description in RNAcentral is "long non-coding RNA (SBIC_LNC017669)". Lineage: Eukaryota; Viridiplantae; Streptophyta; Magnoliopsida; Poales; Poaceae. The record is from RNAcentral.
UCAUACAUUGUUUACUGGUUAGGCCCAGAUCACUGUAUUAACAUGCAUCAUAGCUCAUAAGCUACAACAAUCAUUAAAAAAUAUUGAUUCAUUCAUAUAUUACCAUGUCCACAACAGUUACAUUGAACAACAAAGUACAAAAUUGACCUAGCUCAUAACCAUUUGUUUUGAUAGUCAUUUUACAACUAAUUCUAAGAACAACUACAUUUGAACAAAAAGAUUUCAUCCCUAGGGAGUCUAAAUAAGAAAACAUAUGAUCACUUCAAUUGGCUUGCUGUCGAGAAGGUGCUACCUGAAAAUCAAUAUGAAUAUGGGAUAAGUCAGUUUGCAGCAAAGAUUCUAAAAGAAAUGCUAUCUGUUUAUUAUCAAGCUAUACACAUAUUUUUGAGAGUACAACAUGAGAAUAACUCAUGGUUAAAAAGAGAACAGCCACACGGACACACACAACCAAUAAGGACAAGUAGUCCACAAGUAAAUUAGAAAAAAGCAGCAUUUCAUAACUAUUUGAAGGUUUUGAGUGUAGAUGGAUUCAAGCAAAUCCUAAAUACUACUCUCUAAUAAUUGAGAUUCCUGCCUACUCCUAGAUUCCCAUUAAACUUCACAUUGUGAAGCACAAGCAGUAAUAAUUCAGCAAAGCACGCAUGACAUAUCUAUUUAAGGGCAGCAGCAGUAAGAUUGCUACUCUGCCCUUGUGCAAAACACAAAUGCAGUUGCACAAGUUACUGAUGGAUGCAGUGCUUAUCUGCUUACCUUGUCUCCUGCCACUCUCUGAAAACCAGAAAAAAUGUGAACUGAUGGCCACUGAGAAGUAUAGGAACAAAUGGUCUACACUAGUCCUCAGCGAGCUCCAAGACUUGUAACAGGAGCUACACCUACAAUCCAAAUGAGAGAGCAAAGCAGUACAUUGUUGCUGAAAGAGAAACUGUAAAAGAAAAUAGAUCUCAAACUGGGCAUAAAGUUCCUAUUAAUGAAGAUAUCAUGUUCUAGAAACCACAUAAUUGCACAAUCUGCAGUUAUAGAUUAGCUAUCCAAACAAUACUAUGAUCCCUUGCAUGAAGUCUAAGUCUAAAAAUUAACAACUAGCAAAACAUAUAUAGAAAAUUGCACAAUUUAUAUAGUAGAUAGCUAGAUUAUAAAAUUAUCAAAAAAUUUCUUUGGUCAGGCAAGCACAUUUGAUAGAACAAACAAACUGCAAAACAAGAUACUACAUCUUACUGCUAAUUGUGAGAGACGGAGGGAGAGAUGAUCCAGUACACACCUUGCUUGGAUUAACAAACAAAUAAAAAACUGGAUAACUGAAUAUUCCAAGAACUCAAUACAUAGCAGCACCAAUGGAUAACCUAAUAGUCUGAAAUAUUGAAAAAUCACCUACAAGUGUCCAACAGAUAUACCCUUACUACUGUAGAUCAUGUUUUUUCCCUCUUUACUCACAAUCAUGUUUCCUCACUACUUUGCACUAAAUCCACACUUUUACUACCAGAUCUACCAAAAACAAACAAAAGCUAUAUAUCAGCACAAUACUUGAGUCUAUAAAGAGAGGAUUUUGGUUCUAGAUGGUUGCUCGCCAGGGUUCGAAGCGAUUUCCCCUCCCAAAUAAAUUAAAACCCUAGAUCGGAGAGAAGCAGGUUAUGAUCUAUUAGAACUGUAGGAAAGGGAUGAACUAAAAUUAAACCUCAGAUCUAAUACAGGAAUGAAAAAAGAGGAAAGAAACAACCUGCCACUGGCUUGCCAUAGAUUCGCCGUGUCCAUCCCCAAACCACGGCCUCGCUUCGGCGGGCUGCCUCCAUCCCCAAACCACGGCGGCGGUUCCUAGCUAGCGGUGCUUCCCCGUGAGCCUCAGGUCGUGGAUCUCCCAAGCCCGCGGUGGCCUCAUGCCUACACUAGCAAGAAUCUGAGGCACUGCAGAUCCAGGCCGACCCCCUUCAACUGCAGCUCCAGGCGGAGCAGAAAGAAUGAGUUGUGAUGAUUCAAGUUACCUGCUCCACAAACCACUUCUACUCUGUACGCUUGAGUGGCGCCUUGCCCUGUUGGUGCUGCUGCGGCGCUGCUAGCCCACGGUCACUCGGCGUGCUAGAGCCUGGAUUCUAGAGCGGGGGACCACUGGAGCCGACACGACGACAUGCCGACACCCACCUGCCUUCCUGCCGCUGAGAAGCCGUGUGCUCGGCCAAGGAGAGGACCCGUGGGUCGCGGCCAGGGAGAGGGGACUGGGUCGCGGACUCGCAGCCAAAGGGAGGGGUGGAGGGCGUCGCGCACUCGACACUCGUGCUCGCGCCGUCGGGUUAGAAGUACGGGAAAACACAACGAAGGAGAGGCGGCGCUACUCGGGAGGAAG